UAGAUAGACAGCAAAAUAUGGUAAGAGACGUCACCUAAAGUCAUCUGGAUAAAGUUUGGAAUAUCUUCAAUUCUCUCACAGAAGGCUGAGGUCUUAAAAAUAGAGAGAUCUCUACCCACUAAUAUUUUUGUGGACACCUUCUCCAGAUGGAUGAAUCCAAAGAUUAUAAAACUGAAAUGUAGAAGCACCAUUUUGAUAUGACUAAGGCUUGAUAGAGAAGGAAAAGAAAAAGUGCCUCUUUGUGCCUCUCUUGGAAGCUUACAGCAAACUAGAGCGCGAAGGGAAGGGAACUAAAAAAAGAUUUGAACACAAGAUGACUAGAUCCUGAUCAAAUCUAUAGAUGAACC
This 347-nucleotide long non-coding RNA is filed under the name Elaeis guineensis (African oil palm). RNAcentral's name for it is "long non-coding RNA (EGUI_LNC033190)". The record is from RNAcentral. Lineage: Eukaryota; Viridiplantae; Streptophyta; Magnoliopsida; Arecales; Arecaceae.